GACGAACGCUGGCGGCGUGCUUAACACAUGCAAGUCGAACGGAAAGGCCCUGCUUUUGUGGGGUGCUCGAGUGGCGAACGGGUGAGUAACACGUGAGUAACCUGCCCUUGACUUUGGGAUAACUUCAGGAAACUGCGGCUAAUACCGGAUAGGAGCUCCUGCUGCAUGGUGGGGGCUGGGACGUUUCGGCGGUUGGGGAUGGACUCGCGGGUUAUCAGCUUGUUGGUGGGAUAGUGGCCUACCAAGGCUUCGACGGAUAGCCGGCCUGAGAGGGGGACCGGCCACAUUGGGACUGAGAUACGGCCCAGACGCGUACGGGAGGCAGCAGGGGGGAGUAUUACACAGUGGGCGGAAGCCUGAUGCGGCGGCGCCGCGUGCGGGAUGACGGCCUUCGGGUUGUAAACCGCUUUCGCCUGUGACGAAGCGUGAGUGACGGUAAUGGGUAAAGAAGCACCGGCUAACUACGUG
This 468-nucleotide ribosomal RNA is filed under the name uncultured bacterium. Its description in RNAcentral is "partial 16S ribosomal RNA". It matches the Rfam family "Bacterial small subunit ribosomal RNA", at positions 28 to 507 of the family's 1533-position model. The record is from RNAcentral.